This 1264-nucleotide small RNA is filed under the name Pan troglodytes (chimpanzee). RNAcentral describes it as "processed transcript". Lineage: Eukaryota; Metazoa; Chordata; Mammalia; Primates; Hominidae. The record is from RNAcentral.
ACCUGAGCAGGUUCGAUUACGACUUCUUCCAGCUGGAGAGGGCGGCUGCGGAGGGAGCGAGUGCAGACAAACUCGGUGCUGCGGACGGUGGAGACGGCAAGGCAGGCCCCAGUGUCCUGGCUGCAUUCCAGGACUACAUCAAACUGAUGCCGCUGGUUCAGAAGCAAAUCAAAUGAGUGAAGAGCUGAAGAAGGGACUUAACAUGGAAUUGAAGGUGAAAAAUUUGGCAUCGUCAGAUUCCAGGGGCUAUGACCUACAGAAGGAGGUCUUGGUGAAGGUGACCCACCACGGGUCUCACGAGGCAUUAUCCUAUCUCUGACCCUCUCUUCUGCCUCUCUCGGCCAUAUUGAAGACCCUUGUGAUUUCAUUGGGGCCACCUGGAUACUCCAGGCUAAUCUCCGUAUUUUAAGGUGUGGAUAUGGUCAAAAGCCAAGUUCAUCAAUAGGAAAUUCCUAAUGCAGGAACUUUACCAGCGCUUUCUAGAUGGAGAUCACGGCCCUGUGGCUCGAGAAGACGACCCUUUCUGGGAUCCUGUCGAGGUCGUCUGUUUGGGCUCAGCUCACAUCUGGCUCCAGUCGCUGGCCUACUGCAUGAAGCUGGAGGAGCAAGUGGAGUUUCUGAACUGUGACAGGCUGGAGGAGGCGGUGCUGCAUACCUGCAUAGCACCCUGCUCCCCAACAGGACAAACGCAUGGCGAGGAGGAUGUGGUUAUCGACCCUUUGGAGCUGCUGGGCAAGAGGAUGGAUUUUCAGAUUCACAUUGUCCGGUGCCUUGGCGUCAACUGGAUGAAGGAAGAUGCAAAGCGGGGCAUUCAGAUAGGGUACAGAAUUUAUGACCUUCCAAACACUAUUUAUACCAAACCUGUAUGGAAAAGUGUGAAUCCACAAAUUGAAGAGACUGUCCAAUUUGCAGCCUUAACUGCAUCUCAGGAGUUUCUGAAUUAUUUGCGGACAAAUGCCCUUAUUGUUGACCUAUGGGGCCUUCAAGAAGGCUGCACCGAGCUGAGCUGCUCUCAGCUGGGCCUCAGGGUCACAGGUGAAGGCCACAUCCUGGUAGACACCAAGAAAAUUUCCACUGUGAAGGAUAUAAGCCAAGCAGCAUCAAACCAGAUACCAGAACUUUAUCUGAAGCUGCUCAAGCUAGAGCAGGAGACAGAACUGCUCAGGAACAUUAACAGAACCCUGAGAGAGCAGAACGUGCUUCUCAAAGCAUCACUUGCAAAAAUUGCUUCUGGUCAAGCCCUGAAGCCUUCCAACACUCUGAA